GACGAACGCUGGCGGCGUGCUUAACACAUGCAAGUCGAACGGAAAGGCCCUGCGUUUGUGGGGUGCUCGAGUGGCGAACGGGGGAGUAACACGUGAGUAACCUGCCCUUGACUUUGGGAUAACUUCAGGAAACUGGGGCUAAUACCGGAUAGGAGCUACUGCAGCAUGGUGGGGGUUGGAAAGUUCCGGCGGUUGGGGAUGGAAUCGCGGCAUAUCAGCUUGUUGGUGGGGUAGGGGCUUACCAAGGCUUUGACGGGUAGCCGGCCUGAGAGGGUGACCGGCCACAAGGGUACUGCGGUACGGCCCAGACUCCUACGGGAGGCAGCAGUGGAGAAUAUUGCACAGUGGGCGGAAGCCUGAUACAGCGACGCCGCGUGCGGGAUGACGUCUUUCGGGUUGUAAACCGCUUUCUCCUUUGACGUAGCGUGAGUGACGGUAAUUGGUAAGGAAGCACCGGCUAACUACGUG
Molecule: ribosomal RNA, 468 nt
Filed under: uncultured bacterium
Lineage: Bacteria
Description: partial 16S ribosomal RNA
Rfam family: Bacterial small subunit ribosomal RNA
Source: RNAcentral